CCCCUAGAUGUUCUGGGCCGCACGCGCGCUACACUGAACAGUUCAACAAGUCUUAACCUUGGCCGAUAGGUCUGGGUAAUCUUUGAACGCUGUUCGUGAUUGGGAUAGACCUUUGCAAUUAUGGGUCUUCAACGAGGAAUUCCUAGUAAACGCAAGUCAUCAGCUUGCAUUGAUUACGUCCCUGCCCUUUGUGCACACCGCCCGUCGCACCUACCGAUUGAAUGGUCCGGUGAAAUCUCGGGACGGCGGCUCGGUCGCUUGCGUCCGACUGCUGAAACUUGAUUAAACCAUAUCAUUUAGAGGAAGGUGAAGUCGUAACA
Molecule: ribosomal RNA, 320 nt
Filed under: uncultured eukaryote
Lineage: Eukaryota
Description: partial 18S ribosomal RNA
Rfam family: Eukaryotic small subunit ribosomal RNA
Source: RNAcentral